This 447-nucleotide ribosomal RNA is filed under the name uncultured bacterium. RNAcentral describes it as "partial 16S ribosomal RNA". It matches the Rfam family "Bacterial small subunit ribosomal RNA", at positions 29 to 523 of the family's 1533-position model. The record is from RNAcentral.
AGCGAACGCUGGCGGCAGGCUUAACACAUGCAAGUCGAACGCCCCGCAAGGGGAGUGGCAGACGGGUGAGUAACACGUGGGAACGUACCCUUUGGUUCGGAAUAACUUGGGGAAACUCAAGCUAAUACCGGAUAAGCCCUUAUGGAGAAAGGUUUACUGCCGAAGGAUCGGCCCGCGUCUGAUUAGCUAGUUGGUGAGGUAAUGGCUCACCAAGGCGACGAUCAGUAGCUGGUCUGAGAGGAUGAUCAGCCACACUGGGACUGAGACACGGCCCAGACUCCUACGGGAGGCAGCAGUGGGGAAUAUUGGACAAUGGGGGCAACCCUGAUCCAGCCAUGCCGCGUGAGUGACGAAGGCCUUAGGGUUGUAAAGCUCUUUUACCCGGGACGAUAAUGACUGUACCGGGAGAAUAAGCCCCGGCUAACUUCGUGCCAGCCGCCGCAGUAA